UUCCGGUUGAUCCCGCCGGAGAUCACUGCUAUUGGGAUUCGACUAAGCCAUGCGAGUCGAGAGGGUUCGGCCCUCGGCGAACUGCUCAGUAACACGUGGAUAAUUUGCCCUUAGGUGGAGGAUAACCUCGGGAAACUGAGAAUAAUACUCCAUAGAUCUUAGAGGCUGGAAUGCACUAAGAUUAAAAACUCCGGUGCCUAAGGAUAAGUCUGCGGACUAUCAGGUUGUAGUCAGGGUAAAGACCUGACUAGCCUACGACGGAUACGGGUUGUGAGAGCAAUAACCCGGAGACGAUAUCUGAGACAUGAUAUCGGGCCCUACGGGGCGCAGCAGGCGCGAAACCUUCACAAUGUGCGAAAGCGCGAUGAGGGAAUCCCAAGUGCUUGCUCGUAAGAGUAAGCUGUUUUUAUGUCUAAAACGCAUGAAGAGUAAGGGCUGGGUAAGACGGGUGCCAGCCGCCGCGGUAAUACCUGCAGCUCAAGUGGUGAUCGCUAUUAUUGGGCCUAAAACGUUCGUAGCCGGUUUGGUAAAUGCCUGGGUAAAUCGUGUAGCUUAACUAUACGAAUUCCGGGUAGACUGCUAAACUUGAGACCGGGAGAGGCUAGAGGUACUCCUGGGGUAGAGGUGAAAUUCUGUAAUCCUGGGGGGACCACCAGUGGCGAAGGCGUCUAGCUAGAACGGGUCUGACGGUGAGGGACGAAGCCCUGGGGCGCAAACCGGAUUAGAUACCCGGGUAGUCCAGGGUGUAAACGCUGCUUGCUUGAUGUUAGUUGGGCUCCGAGCCCAAUUAGUGUCGGAGAGAAGUUGUUAAGCAAGCUGCCUGGGAAGUACGGUCGCAAGACUGAAACUUAAAGGAAUUGGCGGGGGAGCACAGCAACGGGUGGAGCGUGCGGUUUAAUUGGAUUCAACGCCGGA
This 915-nucleotide ribosomal RNA is filed under the name uncultured archaeon. Its description in RNAcentral is "bacterial SSU rRNA". It matches the Rfam family "Archaeal small subunit ribosomal RNA", at positions 1 to 922 of the family's 1478-position model. The record is from RNAcentral.